GCCUUUACAAAUCACUUAUCUACAAUGAAAUGUUUGGCAUCUAGUAUUAGCAACCCAACACCACAAUUCUCUUCCAUAAUUCCAUACUACCAAUAUUUGCAAAACAUUCCAAAAACCAACUUGAACAAUAGGUUUAUGUGUGUAUAUAUAUAUAAUCAUCAUUUCAAUACCACAUCAUCAAUACCACAUCAUCACCCCAAAUUCCUUCACAAUUUAACAUAAUCCAACCAUGCACAAGAAUAAUCCAACAUCAUUUCCAAUCAUCUUUCAACAACAAUCAAAUAACAUACUUCUUAUGCUCACAUGCAUAUAUAUAUAUAUACAUAUCCAUAUAAAUAACACCAACAUAAUUUACAUCCUUACCAAAAAAAUGGCCCUUUUGAUUUCGAAGUCCUGUUGGCACAAAUAAGGGGUGCUUCUCGAAGCCCUUGAGACGGUGAACACAACUACGGAAUCAAUUUGGAUUUUCUACGGUUGAAUCACAAGAUAAUUGGAGUUGAAAUUUGGCUAGGGUUUCUUAGUUUUCAAUAAUGGAUGAUAAAUAAUGGAUAUGAGGCUAAGUAUAUGUAUAUAAUGACCAAUUUUCGUUCAAGAGGUGAUGGAAAAUGACCAUAUUGCCCUUAAAAAUUUAAGUAAAUCCGAAUCUGUCCAUGGUGGACUGUUUUGAUAGGCUAAAGUAAAUCGGCCAUAACUCUUUGCUCCGAUAUCGGAUUUGGGUGAAAUUGGUAUCGUUGGAAAGAUAAUCUAAAGGUAUUUCAUUUAAUAUAAAGUAGGCCACCCAGUUCGUCCUGUACAAGAAGUUAUGAUCGUUUGAAGUUGACCCUAAAAAUCUGUUUUGAGAGGCUGAAGUAAAACGAGUAUAACUCCUUACUCAGAUGUUGGAUUUGGAUGAAACCAAUUUCAUUGGAAAGAAGACUCAAAGAUCUUUAUAGGUGGCAUCUCUCCCAGUUCAUUAUAUUAAGGGAGUUAUGAUCGUUCAAAUUUGACACAAAAAAAUGGCUGACCUCAGUAGUUUGUGUGCAGGAAAUUUUCCUGCACAUUUACUAUUCCCAAUAUCCCAGCCACCGUUUUAUAGUUUCGAACGUGCUCGAUUAUAUACGAAACCUAUCCGUUUUUGGAAAUCUUUAUAUCGUUGGAAAUCUUAUUCAAUAACCUUCGUAUGGAACCAUCGACGGGCAAAUUUCGAUAUAAAUAAAAUAAAAUAAAAUUAAUUCCAUAUAAAUAAGACCAAUACACGUACUUGAAUACGCCAAUAUAUGUACUUGAAUACGGGGUGUUACAUUUUUAUACUUGAUACAUUUAAUAUAUUGAUUAUGAUACAAACAUCUAAUUUUGUCGAUAUAUUAGAUUCUAUAUUAUACAUACUAAAAUUUGUAUGUGAUUUGAGUUUGUUUACACCUAAUACAUUCAACAUACUUAGUAUGAUACAUAGGUAUGAUAUAUAACAUUAUUUAUGAUAAGAUGAGACUAGGCAUCAGUGUUGUGAACCAACACCCAUUUGAUGUUGAAUACGUAGAAGACAUGGCAUAGCAAGCUAGUGAAAAUUUGUAAGUAUCUCUUCACAAGUUUAUCUAUGUACAAAGAAUAAAACUGAAUGUCAUCUUUGAGCAUUUUCUAACUAUAGAAUCAUUCAUGUUCAGGGACUAUGGAGAUUUUGUGGCAAUUUUUGCUGAGUUUCUUAGCGAUCGAAUGUCAAUUCCCUCAUCAUAUUUUGAUGCUGAAUAUCAUCGAAAGAGAUAUGCAACAUUUUUAUGAAACUAUGGAGUCAAGAAUGCAAAUAAGUAUAUAUUAGCGACAAUGAUGCCUCUGACCGAUGAUUCCGUUAUUGUUGCCAUAGAGUAGAUACUAAAUUUUUGUCAGAUAUGUUCUAAAUAGUAUUUUGUAUAUUAUUUUAGACGCAAGUAUUAUUUUUAUUUUGAAUACUAAGUUAACCACUGUUAUUUUUUUUUUUUGGAUCAAUUAAAGUUGUUGGAUGUUCUACUCACUAUUUACUUUUCUUUUGUCAUCACAUGUAAUUCUAUAUAACAGAUAUAGAAUAAAAUUGUUGAAUAGUACUUCAAAAUGUUCAAGUUCUUAAUUGAAAUGUAACUGGUACUUUAUUUGGUUUCAAAAUACUUUAACAUAUUAAUGUAUUAGAAAUAUUAAGAAUUAAUUAAAAAUGUAUCAUUAUAUGUUAUAAGUUUCUUCUACUGAUUUUGUAUUUUCAAAAUAUUUUGCUUAUACACUGCAUAUACAAAAAUAUACAUAUAUUAUAUUAAUAUAUCAAACCAUAAUAUUAUAAUAGAUAACUAAUACAUAAAUAGAUGUAAAUUUAUGUAUUUACUAUAAAUACUAGCAAUGUAUUAUAUUUCACAGUACGAUGUAUCAUAAUUUUGACAUUAUGUCAAUUUUGGUCACUUAAUAAUCGAUACUUACAAGUUUGUAAUCUAUCCGUUAAAAUCUUAAUAUAUAAAAGUUUACAUAUUUCUUAUAAAGUUAUGUAUCAUUUUAUAAUUGUUAUUUGUUUGAAGAAAACAUUGAUGUAUCAUAGUCAUAUUUAAUGAAUAAAAUCAUAUUAACAUGGUGCACCUUUCAUGAAAUAGCAUAAAACUCAUUUAAACAACAAAAAAAACCUAUGUAAAGUAAUAUACUACUUAAAAAACAAGAUUAAAUAUUAAAUAAAUAUAAAAUAAAUUGAACACGUUAAAUCAUUAAAAAAUAAACACUCAUUCAAUUUUAACAUUGUUUAAACAUUACUCAACGCUAGCCAAACCAAAAUCAAACCAACAUAAAUGAAAAUAAGUUAAAAUACCAAUAUAUUAACAUAAAAAAAUUUUCAACAUUUUUUUUUUUAAAUACUAUUCAUUGUUAAAAAAACAUAAUUAGUAAUGCAUUAUAAUAACCAAUAACACUAUUCUACUCAUCGUUUCCUAUAAUAUUAGUUUUCGUGUACACUAAAACUGUCAUAACCAGUAAUGUAUCAUAUUACUACAGCAAAGAACAUCAACCAACAAAUAACAGUAGCUAAAUGUAUCAAAAAAAAAUAUAAUAUCAGAAAAUGAUACAUAAACAAAAUAUCAACAUGUAGAUUUUAAAAACCUGAUACAAUAUUAAAAAAAUAUGAUGAGAAGUGUACCAUACAAAUCAAAAAUACUAUUCUAUUAAUCGUCUCUUAUGAAACUAACGUAUCAUAUAAAACAUCUACUCCCUUCGUUUAAAAAAGAUUGACCUACUUUGACUUGGCACAAAGUUUAAGAAAAUAAAGAAGACUUUUGAAUCUUGUGGCCUUAAAUUAAAGUUAUGUCAAAUGUACCAAAAUGUCCUUUAAUCUCGUGGUCCUAAACAUGCUAUGUGGAAAGUUGAAAUUAAAGUAUUGCCAAAAAAGGAAAGGGGUCAAUCUUUUCGAAACAAACAAAAAAGGAAAGUAGGUCAUUCUUUUUGAAACGAAGCGAGUAUAAUUUAUUAAAAGUGUGAAGACCUUUAGAAAAGUGAUUUGAAUUUUUUGUCCUUCAUUAAAAGACCCUUCUUUAGACAAAACUGUAUUUUUACUAUUUUCUUUAAUUUAUUAUUUCAUUAUUUUUAUUAUAUUAACUAGACUCCUAAAAUAUAUAGGACUCCUAAAAUAUAUGAAAGGAGAAUCAACUAAUAUUUUUCAUCAAUUAGAAAAAUACUCCUAAAAUAGGAUAGAAAAAUACUCCUAAAAUAGGACUCUAUUAAGAAAAUACUUCUAUAAAUAUUGAGAUGCACGUUAAACUACCGAAGAAAUCAAUUUACUUAUUAGGAAAUAUAAUUGAAGCUCAUCUAACUUAAUUCGGUUGUAUGUCUAGAUUGGUGGAUGCUUAAUUUUUUAACCCUCAACUUCUAUGUUGGUCAACUUUUAAGAAUUUAUUUAGGUAAAGAUUAGGUUUAAUUGUAUUGUUUUUAUAUCUCUAUUUUGAGAAUUUUUUUUGUGUAAAGGCUAAGUUUGGUUUGUGUUAUUUUGAUAUUUCUAUUAUCGUAUUGUAUCAGACAGCUUUGAGAAUUUUUUUUGUGUAAAAGUUAAAUUUAAUUAUAUUAUUUUGAUAUUUCUAUCAUCGUAUUAUUUUGUUGCAGUUUACAGGUUAUAGAUGGAUGCUGAUCGGCUUUGAUAAAUUUUUUUGGUAAACAUUAGGUUUAAUUAAAUAAAUUCUCCAAAAGAUGUUAAAUUUAAUUAUUGUAUCUAUCUUUGUUAUUUAGACAAAUAUCCUAUUUAGUGUAAUGUUUGAACUCAACAAAGUGAGGUACACGCGCAAGGUACAUACACCUAAACUAGUAUUAAAAAACAUAUGAAAUUCGUUUUUUCAUAUGUAAUUGAACUAUUAUAAGCAGUAAUGUAUCAUAUUACAACACCAAUAUACCAUCAUUCGAGCUACAUUACAAAUUCGAAAACAUUAUUCUUGAACUCAACAUAAAACUUUACUUCAUUGUCGUUGCAAAUCAUCAUUGGCGAUGAAUUUUCUUCGACAAUGUAUCUGACGUUGAUUUUUUUCUUGAUUAAUCAAAACCAAAUUUGAUUGCGAUUUGAAAUCAAUCUAAAAAACGAAAUACUUUCUCCAACAACAAUUUCAUUACUUUUGUUCAUAUUAAAGUUUAUUCAUCCAAACACUGUAAAAUUUCAACAAAAUGGAGAUGUUCAUAACGUAUUCAAAUGGCACUGCCCACCCAAACAGACCACACUAGGCUGCUCCCCAGCCUCUUUGAUACGCCUCGAUCAAUUCUUGGCCCAUUUCACACCCGGACCUCGGCACACUCCUGGAACCGUGGGCUAUAACACACUGAUUUUGCCCAUAAAUGUCCCGUUUGCACCAUUUCGUCCGUUUGACCAAACAAAUGGCCCCGCACACCCAAAUGGAACACACUAGGCCACUCCCCAACCUCCUUGGCACGCCUCGAUCGAUUUUUGGCCCAUUACACGCCCGAACCCCGGGCAUACCCCCGAAACCGUGGGCUAUAGCAUACCAAUUUGACCAAAAAAUGCCCCGUUUGCACCAUUUUGCUUGUUUGACCACCCAAAUGGCUCCGCCCACCCAAACAGACCACACUAAGCUUCUUUAUAGCCUCUCUGGAAUGCCUCAGCCAAUUUUUGGCAAUUUCAGGCCGGGACCUCAGGCAGAUCCCCAGAACCGUGGGCUAUAGCACAUCGAUUUGACCUGAAAAUACCUCGUUUGCAUCAUUUUGCCCGUUUGACCAUCAAAUGGCCCCGCCCAUCGAAACGUACCACACUAGGCUGCUCCCUAAUUUCCCUGACUGACUCGGUUGAUUUUUGGCCUAUUUCACGCUCGGACUCCGGGCACACCCCUGGAACCAUGGCAAUAACAUACCGAUUUGGCCCAAAACUAUACCACAUCGAUUUGGCCUGAAAUGUCCCUUUAGUACAAUUUUGCUCGUUUGACCACCCAAAUGGCCCCGCCCACUCAAACAGACCACACUAGGCCGCUCCUGAGCCUCCCUGACACGCCUCAAUCGAUUUUUAGCCCAUUUCAUGCCCGGACCUCGGCAACACCCCCGAAAUUAUGGCCUAUAACACAUCGAUUUGGCUCGAAAAGGCCUUAUUUGUACCAUUUUGCCCGUUUGAAUACCCAAAUGGCCUCGCCCAACCAAACGGACCACACUAGGUUGCUCUCAGCCUCCUGGCACGUCUCGGUCGAUUUUUGGCCCAUUUCACGCUCGGACCCCAGGCACACCCUCGGAACCAUAGGCUAUAACACACCAAUUUGGCUCGAAAAUGCCCCGUUUACAUCGAUUCAUCUGUUUGACAACCCAAAUAGCCCCACCCAUCCAAACGGACCACACUAAGCCGCUUUUGUUUAACCACCUAAAUGACACCGCCCACUCAAACGGACCACACUAGGCAGCUCCCUGGCACAUCUCGAUUGAUUUUUGGCCCAUUUCACGCAUGGGCCCCAGGAAAACUCCCGCAACCGUGAGCUAUUGCACACCGAUUUAACCCAAAAAUAUUCCAUUUGCACCAUUUCGCCCAUUUGACCACCCAAAUUGCCCCGCCUACCCAAACGGACCGCACUAGACUAGCUCCCUAGUUUUCCUGGCAUGUCUCGUUCAAUUUUUGGCCCAUUUCAUGCCCGGACCCAGGCACACCCCCUGAACCGUGGGCUAUAGCACACGCCCGUUUGCACCAUUUCACUUGUUUGACCACCCAAAUGGCCCUACCUACCCAAAUGGACCACACUAGGCUGCUUUUCAGUCUCUGUGGCAUGCCUCGAUCGAUUUUUGGCUGGCACACCCCCGAAACCAUGGAUUAUAUAGCACACUGAUUUGGCCCAAAAAUGUCUUGUUUACAGCGUUUCACCCGUUUGAUGACCCAAAUGGUGUCGCCCACUCAAACGGACCAUACUAGGCCGCUCCCCAACCUCCCUGAAAUGCCUUGAUUAUUUUUUAGCCCAUUUUACGCCUGGAUCCUGGGCACACCCCUAGAACCAUAGGUUAUAGUACACCAAUUUAGCUCGAAAAUGCCCCAUUUUCCCCAUUUGACCACCCAAAUGGCCUUGCCCUCCCAAACGGACCACACUAGGCCGCUCCCCAACCUCCCUGGAAUGCCUCGAUAAAUUUUUUGCCCAUUUCAUCUCGGACCCUGGCAACACCCCGGAAUCGAUGGCUAUAGCACACCGAUUUGGUUUAAAAAUGCCCCGCUUGCACUAUUUUGCCCGUUUGACCACCCAAAUGGCCCCGCCAAUAUAAAUAGACCACACUAGGAUGCUUCCUAGCCUCUCUAGCACACCUUGAUCAAUUUUUGACCUAUUUCACGCCCGAACCUCGGGUAUAACCCCGGAACCGUGGGCUAUAACACACUGAUUUGGCCUGAAAAUGCUCCAUUUAUAUCAUUUUGCCCGUUCGACCUCGCCCAUCCAAAUGAACCACACUAGGCCAAUCCUCAGCCUCCCUAGCAUACCUUGGUCGAUUUUUGGCCCAUUUCACGCUCGAAUCGUAGGCUAUAGACACUAAUUUGGCCCGAAAAUACUCUGUUUGCACCUUUUGCACGUUUGACCACCUAAAUGGUCCCGCCCACCCAAACAGACCAUACUAGGACGCUCCUCAGCCUCCCUGCCAUGCCUCAGUCAAUUUUGGCCCAUUUCACGCCCGAACUCGUGCACACCCUCGGAACCGUAGGCUAUGACACCCCUAUUUGGCCCAAAAAUGCUCCAUUUGCACCGUUUUGCCCGCUAGACCACCCAAAUGGCCCCGCACACCCAAACGAACCACACUAGACUGCUCCCUAGCCUCUCUGGCACACCUCAGUCAAUUUUUAGCCCAUUUCACGCCCAGACCCUACGUACACCCCCAGAACUGUGCGUUAUAUUACACCAAUUUGGCCUGAAAAUGCCCCGCUUGCACCCUUUCACCCGUUUGACCAACUAAAUGGCCCCGCCCACCCAAACGAACCUUACUAGGUUGCUCCCCAUCCUACCUGGCACACCUUGGUCGAUUUUUUGCCCAUUUCAUGCCUGGACCCUAGGCACACCCUCGGAACCGUGGGCUAUAACACAUCGAUUUGACCUAAAAAAUGCAUCGUUUGCUCUGUUUUGCCCGUUUGACCAUCCAAAUGGCCCCGCCCACCGAAACGGACCACACUAGGCUGUUCCCCAGCCUCCUUGGUAUACCUCAAUUGAUUUUUGGCCCAUUUCACUCCCGGACCCAAGCCACAUCCCCAGAACCAUGGGCUAUAGCACACCUAUUUAGCCUAAAAUGCUCCGUUUGCACCGUUUUAUCCGUUUGACCACCCAAAUGACCCCGCCUACGCAAAUGGACCACACUAGGAUGCUCCCCAGCCUUCCUAGCACACCCCCAAAACUGUAAGCUAUAGCACACCAGUUUGGCCUAAAAAUAUUCCUUUAUCACCAUUUCGACCGUUUGACCACCCAAAUGGCCCCGUCCACCCAAACGAACAACACUAGGAUGCUGCUCCCUAGGCUCCCUAACACGCCUCGGUCAAUUUUUAGCCUAUUUUACGUUCGUACCCCGAGCACACCCCCAAAAUCGUGGGCUAUAGCACAUCGAUUUGGCUUGAAAACACCCCAUUUGCACCGUUUCAGCGGUUUGACCACCCAAAUGGCCGCCCACCCAAACGGACCAUACUAGGCCGCUCCCUAGCCUCUCUGACACGCCUUAGUUAAAUUUUGGCCCAUUUCAUACCUGGACCAAAACUGUGGGCUAUAGCACACCGAUUUGGCCUGAAAAUGGCCCAUUCGUACCGUUUCGCCCGUUUGACUAUCCAAAUGGUCCCACCAACCCAAUUGACCCACACUCACCCACUCCUCAGCCAGUUGGGGGACCUUCAAUCGAUUUUUGAUGCAAAACUCACCUUGGCAUCGGGCUCACCCCCAGAACCAUGGGUUAGCAUACGAAUUUGGCCCGUAAAUGGACCGUUCGCGCUGUUUUACUCGUUUGUACACCCAAAUAGCCCCCACCGACCUAACCAACCCACACUCUCCCACUCUUUAGCCAAUCGAAAGGCCCACUGCCGUUUUAUGGCAUAAAACACACGUGGGCCCUAGGCCUACCACCAGAACUGUGAGCUAUAAAUCACAUAUUUGGCUCGAAAAUGGCCCGUUCAUUCCAUUUCGCCAGUUUGAUCACUCAAAUAGCCCCGCUGACCCAACCGACCUACACUCACCCACUCCUCAGCCAGCUAGGGGCCUUUGGUUGAUUUUUAGUCCAAAAUUCAUCCGAGUCAACCCCCUAAAACGUAAGCUAUAACACAUCGAUUUGGUCCGAAAAUGACCCGUUCAUGCUGUUUCGCCCGUUUUACCACCCAAAUGACCCCGCCGACCCAACCAGCUAUACUUACUCACUCCUCAGCCAACCGAGGGGCCUUCGAUCGAUUUUCAACCUAAAACUCACCCUAGCUAUGGGCUUACCCCGAGAAUCUUGGGCUACAGCACACCAAUUUGGUUUGAAAUGGCUCGUUCACACUGUUUUUCCCAUUUGUCCACCUAAAUGGCCCCGCCGACCCAACCGGCCCACACUCACCAAAUCUUCAUCCAGCCAUGGGGCCUUCAAUCAAUUUUUGACACAAAACACCCGGGCCCCAAGCCCACCCCUAGAACCGUGGGCUAUAUCACACUAAUUUGGACCAAAAAUGGUCCGUUCGCGUCGUUUCUCUCGUUUGACUGCCUAAAUGGCCCCACCGACGCAAUCGGUCUACACUUACUCGCUCCUCAGCCAUCCAGGGGGCCUUCAGUCGAUUUUUGCCCAAAUCUCACUUGUGCCUUGGGCCCACCCCAAGAAUCGUGGGCUAGCAUAUUGAUUUAGCCCGAAAAUGAUCCAUUUGAGCCAUUUCGCCCAUUUGACCACCCAAAUGGCCCCGUCGACCCAAUCGACCCAUACUCACCCUCACCUCAGCCAUCGGGGGUCUCCGAUUGAUUUUUGACCUAAAACUCAACUCGGGUCUUGGUCCUACCUCUAAAAACAUGGGCUAUAGCAUACCGAUUUGGCUCGAAAAUGGCCCGUUCCCGCCGUUUUGCCUGUUUGACCACCCAAAUGGCCUAGCCGAUCCAAAUAGCCCACACUCACCCACUCCUCAGCCAGCCAGCGGCCUAUGAUCUAUUUUUGGCCCAAACCUCACUGGUCCCUGGCCCACCCACGGAACCGUGGGCUAUAACACACAAAUUUUGCUAAAAAAUGGUGCGUUUAUCGUUUGACCACCUAAAUGGCCCUGUCAACCCCUUCGACCUACACUCAUCUGCUCCCCAGCCAGCCUGGAGGCCUUUGGUCGAUUUUUAACCCAAAACUCACCUGGGCCUACCCCCGGAACUGUGGGCUAUAGCACACUGAUUUGGCUUAAAAAUGGCCUGUUCAUGCCGUUUCGCCCAUUUGACCACCCAAAUGUCCUCACCGACCCAAUUGACCCAUACUCACUCGCUCCUCAGCCAGUCGGGGAGCCUCCGGAUAAUUUUCUUCCCAAAACUCACUCAGGCUCCGAGCCCACCCCUAAAAUCAUAGGCUAUAGCACACUGGUUUGGCUUGAAAGUGGCCCGUUUAUGCCAUUUCGCCUGUUUGACUACCAAAAUGACCCCGUCGAUCCAACCAGCCCACACUCACCCGCUCCUCGCCAGUCGCGGGCCUCCAAUCGAUUUUCAGCCCAAAACUCACUCGAUCCCCGGGCCCACCCCUGGAACCGUAGGCUAUAGCACACUGAUUUGGCUCGAAAAUAGCCCGUUGCACCGUUUCACCCAUUUGACAAUCGAAAUGGCCCCGCCGACCCAACUGACCCACCCUUACCCGCUCCUCAGCCAGCCUUGGGGCCUCCGAUCUAUUUUCGACCCAAUACUCACCCAUGCCCCGAGCCCACCCCCAGAACCGUGGGUUAUAUCAUACCGAUUUGGCCCAAAAAUGACUCAUUCGUGUCGUUUCGCCCGUUUGACCACUCAAAUAGCCCCACCAGCCCAACCGGACCACACUCACCCGCUCCUCAGCCAACCGGGAUCCUCCAAUCGAUUUUCGGCCCCAAACUUACCUGAGCCCCAAGUCCACCCCAGAACCGUGGGCUAUAGCACACCGAUUUGACCUGAAAAUGGUUCUUUCUCGCCGUUUCGCCCGUUUUUCCUUUUAUUCGUAAUUUUCUAUAAAAGAAAGUAUCAAAAUUAAGUAAAAAAGUUAGUCAAGAAAAAGUCUUACUGCGUGCCCCUCUAGGAUUGAACCCUUGUACUUGAGGGAAAAAAACAAUUUUCUAGAGUCAAACGCAAGACCACUAGGCUAAGUUGGCCUUGUGUUUAAAUGUAAACACUUUUUAAAUUUUAUAUUGUUCACCUAUGCUAUCUACCUCAUUUUAGAAAAUUGACUUUCAAAUGUUGAAAUUGACAUUCACAUCCGCCUUACCAUGCUAUUUUUAUCUUCAAAUCGUUUACUUUUCAUCACUUUUUUGGCUAAAGAAGAAUGAAAAUUUCGUACCGAAUUGGGAGAAAGUGGAGAUUGAAUGGGAUAAAGCCAUUUUUUAGAAAAUCGGCUCGACCAUUUUUUAGGUUCAUAUAUAGUUCUGUUUCUUUGUUUUAUGUAACCCUCUUUGCAUUGUGCUGCUGCUGGCCAUGUGAAGCUUGUUUUGACUAAAACCUUUGGUGAUAUGACUCAUCUAAAGGAAUCAACUGGUGUUUGUCUAUUCAACUAGAAAUGCAAUAGCUACAACUAAAAAAGUGUCUUCUGGGGAGGGUGGAGGGUAGAUUGUACGUAGACCUUAACCCUAUCUUAGAGGUAGAAAGGUUAUUUUUGCUAGACCCUUGUCUCAAAAAAAAAAAAACAGUCCACAAAAAUCCCGAAAAAGAAGUAAUGGAAGUACAAGAAACAACAGAUAUAAUAACCAAAAUAGUAGAUAGUAAUAGAAAGGAAAUGACAACAAAACAAUACAAUCGGACAAUAUACACACAACUUAGAAAAGCAUUCUCUACGAGAACUUGUCUGCAGUAGAACAUGAAAUGGAGGUUCAACUAAGAAACCAAAAGUAUACCAGUUCAGAAUUAGUCACCUCAUUCAAAAAUACUACAAGCCUACCUUGAAGAAGGGAAAUCUAGCAACUGUAAGUGCAACCAAUUCAGCAUUAGUCCUGAUGCGGCUGGUUACUAGCAAUUUAGAAAUCCACAACUCCUUCGUGUAAAUGUCAUACUUGCAUACGGAUCUUGUGUCCUUGCCCUUGUCGUCCUGCCACAGAAAGAGCAAAAAACAAUUGUCAGCGCAAGCGUGAAAUGUUAUUAGCUUGAGAUCCAUUGAUGGUGUCAAGAAUUGCAGCUUGAUGAUGCGCUUUGUUUCAGCUCAUUUCUACUUUGUAUGAUCGUCUAAUGCCAAUACAUGGAGUUCAUCGUUAGUAGCUGAGCAAACAAGAGGCAGCCAUUCCAGUCCAAGAUAGUGGUGCUCAUGCUCAAUUUUGAGAAGAAACUUGCUCU
This 11885-nucleotide long non-coding RNA is filed under the name Capsicum annuum. RNAcentral describes it as "long non-coding RNA (CANN_LNC016438)". Lineage: Eukaryota; Viridiplantae; Streptophyta; Magnoliopsida; Solanales; Solanaceae. The record is from RNAcentral.